This 356-nucleotide ribosomal RNA is filed under the name uncultured Streptococcus sp. RNAcentral's name for it is "bacterial SSU rRNA". It matches the Rfam family "Bacterial small subunit ribosomal RNA", at positions 1027 to 1382 of the family's 1533-position model. Lineage: Bacteria; Bacillati; Bacillota; Bacilli; Lactobacillales; Streptococcaceae. The record is from RNAcentral.
CCUGGAGACAGGUGCUGCAUGGCUGUCGUCAGCUCGUGUCGUGAGAUGUUGGGUUAAGUCCCGCAACGAGCGCAACCCUUGUCAUUAGUUGCCAUCAUUUGGUUUGGGCACUCUAAUGAGACUGCCGGUGACAAACCGGAGGAAGGUGGGAUGACGUCAAAUCAUCAUGCCCCUUAUGACCUGGGCUACACACGUGCUACAAUGGUUGGUACAACGAGUUGCGAGUCGGUGACGGCGAGCUAAUCUCUUAAAGCCAAUCUCAGUUCGGAUUGUAGGCUGCAACUCGCCUACAUGAAGUCGGAAUCGCUAGUAAUCGCGGAUCAGCAUCGUCGCCGGUGAAUACGUUCCCGGGUCUU